UCGACGACGGCAUACCAUGUUCUUGUGUGCAUUUUGUGUCGCAAUUCAUUACGAUCGACGCAGUCGCAAUUCCAAUGUCCAGUGCAUCGUUGCAUAUCAGUCAGUACACAUAUCCGAUAAUUUGCCGCAAUGAUGGAUUCAGAUUUCGAUGAAUCUUUGAAUAUUGAAACUUUUUCGAAGAAAUUAAAAACUAUCUAGAGAUUUGAAAUCUCAUUGUAGAACAUUAUGAUAAGAAAAAAAAGUGCGUGGAUAAAUGUUUGACGUGUUUUCUGCGAAAAUUUUGACGAAAAGAACGAGAUUCGUAAGAAUGAAAUAUAAAACUCAUCUCUAAAUAUUGGUCGUAUGCAUUAUAUAUCUCAAGUUUCAAGAAAUAUUCAAAUUUUAUGAGCGAAAUUAAAGUCGAGAAACCACCAUUACGACGGGUGAGAUUUCAUCGAUCCCAGAAAAAUUCUGAUGCAAUGGAAGGUUUUUGUACAUCCUGCAUUUUUCUCUGGCAAGAAAAGGUGCAGCCAACAGGUGAAAUGUGGUAGAAAAAAAUGCACCUGAGCGAUCAAUGAAAGUUGAAAAAAUAUGCAGGUCUCAGACAAGUUACCGCAGUCUGACACCUGUCGUUUUUGCGAAUGACAGCGUCGACAAACAUCUGCGUUUAUAUAAAAAGCUAUCUUCUCAAAUGCUUACAAAGUUGACUUAUUCUUAAUUUUGUAUAAAAAAGGAAAAAAAAAAA
This is a long non-coding RNA of Apis mellifera (honey bee), 724 nucleotides long. RefSeq lists it as uncharacterized. The record is from RefSeq and is a predicted model, not a curated record. Lineage: Eukaryota; Metazoa; Arthropoda; Insecta; Hymenoptera; Apidae. The transcript has 2 exons.